This 67-nucleotide transfer RNA is filed under the name uncultured Prevotella sp. It matches the Rfam family "tRNA". From Rfam's summary of the family: Transfer RNA (tRNA) molecules are approximately 80 nucleotides in length. Their secondary structure includes four short double-helical elements and three loops (D, anti-codon, and T loops). The record is from RNAcentral. Lineage: Bacteria; Pseudomonadati; Bacteroidota; Bacteroidia; Bacteroidales; Prevotellaceae.
GGUGUAGUUCAGUUGGUUAGAGCGUCAGAUUGUGGUUCUGAAUGUCGUGGGUUCGAGUCCCUCUACC